Molecule: ribosomal RNA, 359 nt
Filed under: uncultured Acholeplasma sp.
Lineage: Bacteria; Bacillati; Mycoplasmatota; Mollicutes; Acholeplasmatales; Acholeplasmataceae
Description: bacterial SSU rRNA
Rfam family: Bacterial small subunit ribosomal RNA
Source: RNAcentral
AAGGACACGUGCACAGGUGCUGCAUGGCUGUCGUCAGCUCGUGUCGUGAGAUGUUGGUUAAGUCCCGCAACGAGCGCAACCCUUAUUGCUAGUUACCAUCAUUAAGUUGGGGGACUCUAGCGAGACUGCCAGUGAUAAACUGGAGGAAGGUGGGGAUGACGUCAAAUCAUCAUGCCCCUUAUGACCUGGGCUACAAACGUGAUACAAUGGCUGAAACAAAGGGCAGCGAAGCAGUGAUGUGGAGCGAAACCCAAAAAAGCAGUCUCAGUUCGGAUUGAAGUCUGCAACUCGACUUCAUGAAGUUGGAAUCGCUAGUAAUCGUAGAUCAGAACGCUACGGUGAAUACGUUCUCGGGGUUU